AGUGAACGCUGGCGGUAGGCCUAACACAUGCAAGUCGAACGGCAGCACAGUAAGAGCUUGCUCUUACGGGUGGCGAGUGGCGGACGGGUGAGGAAUACAUCGGAAUCUACUUUUUCGUGGGGGAUAACGUAGGGAAACUUACUCUAAUACCGCAUACGAUCUACGGUUGAAAGCAGGGGAUCUUCGGACCUUGCGCGAUUGAAUUAGCCGAUGUCGGAUUAGCUAGUUGGCGGGGUAAAGGCCCACCAAGGCGACGAUCCGUAGCUGGUCUGAGAGGAUGAUCAGCCACACUGGAACUGAGACACGGUCCAGACUCCUACGGGAGGCAGCAGUGGGGAAUAUUGGACAAUGGGCGCAAGCCUGAUCCAGCCAUACCGCGUGGGUGAAGAAGGCCUUCGGGUUGUAAAGCCCUUUUGUUGGGAAAGAAAAGCAGCAGGUUAAUACCCCGCUGUUCUGACGGUACCCAAAGAAUAAGCACCGGCUAACUUCGUG
RNAcentral lists this ribosomal RNA (492 nucleotides) under uncultured bacterium. RNAcentral describes it as "partial 16S ribosomal RNA". It matches the Rfam family "Bacterial small subunit ribosomal RNA", at positions 29 to 507 of the family's 1533-position model. The record is from RNAcentral.